Molecule: long non-coding RNA, 471 nt
Organism: Pecten maximus
Lineage: Eukaryota; Metazoa; Mollusca; Bivalvia; Pectinida; Pectinidae
Exons: 2
Source: RefSeq, a predicted model, not a curated record
CAAUCUUCCUAGGCCAGGAUUUACCUCACCAUUGAGAGAGGCAAUCUUCCUAGGCCAGGUUUUACCUCACCAUUGAGAGGGACAAUCUUCCUAGGCCAGAUUUACCUCACCAAUGAGAGGGACAAUCUUUCUUGAUCAGGUUUUACCUCACCAAUGAGAGGGACAAUCUUCCUAGGCCAGAUUUACCUCACCAAUGAGAGGGACAAUCUUCCUAGGCCAGGUUUUACCUCACCAUUGAGAGGGACAAUCUUUCUUGAUCAGGUUUUACCUCGCCAUUGAGAGGGACAAUCUUACUAGGCCAGGAUUUACCUCACCAAUGAGAGGGACAAUCUUCCUAGGGCAUGUUUUAUCAUCAACGUGUAUUUGUCUGUUUUUCUGUGCUGUAGAUGGAAUGUAAGAACCAUUGUGAUCGUAUAGAGUUUUAGACAUUCCAGUAUGAUAAAUAAAAUAUUAUGUUUUUUACACAAUGAU